CUGGGGCUACUGUUGCAGGCUGGGAAACCUUAGUGAGCGUAGAGUGAACUGUAGACGUACAUCUACUUCAUGGAAUGGAUUGACCUGAAUACAUUUGAUCUGUGACUUUUUGGCUCCCUGAAUGCUUCUGUCAUGCUAGGUCGUGUUUCUAAUUUUUACAUCAGCAUUAUGUUUGAGGCCUACUUGCACCAAGCAUUCUCUCCUCGCAAACCAUCAGGACGGGUGAGAAAUCUACUGCGCUCCAGGUUAAUGAGGUCAUUGCAGGAGAAGUUUCCCCACACUCAGUUUGAUGUCACUUUUUCACGUGCAUGAACACAGUCAUCACUAGAGAAUGUGUCUGCUAAUAACCAAUCUACGUACAAUGCCUUUGGUUUUUUUAAAGCAAAAUAGAAUCUGAUUUCUUUUUGGUACCAAGGAAACCUCAACUAUUUUUCUUAUAUGUCUGUGGUAGCUCUGAGUUCUCUUUGGCUGUUUUCAGUGAGGAAUCUUGCAAACCACAAGACUUGAAUAGCAAAGACAUCUUAAGUCUCUUCUGAACAACAUUAAGUGCACACUUUUUAUGUCCUGCUUGUGCAUGGUUUUGGAUGCUGGAGGACUUUCUCAUUUAAUCUUUUCAUUGUAGCUUUCUAUUAAUGGUAUACUUGUUUAGAAAAAUAAUAUUAAAUCAAAGAAGCAGUUUAUAUAAAGCUUGUUCUAUAAAGCAGGAGAGCAAAAGAAGGAAGUACCUUUUUGAGGAGAGUUCAUCCACCUCUGUCACAUCAUUGCCUGCACAUCUCUGAACAUCUGACAGUUUUUGUUAAUCUAGUUUCACUCCCCAGUUCAACUUCCCAUAUGGAAAGCUGGAGUGAUGUCUGAAUAACAGCAAGUAAUAUCUGAAGUGGCAGCAACUGGCAACUCUGACAUUGAGCUUGGCUGUAGCCAUUACCCAGAAUCCUUCCACUCUUCUUGAGAAGCAAUUACAAUUUCACAGGUUGGAAUUAAAAUUCCCUGCGGUAUGCAAUAGAGUAACUGAAACUGUCAAAGUGAUUUCAAGCUGCUAAUCUCUUGCUGCUCAAAGAGUGAAAAUAGAGCCCCUCAUACCCAGGCACAGAUCUGACAACUUAAAAACUCCAGCCUUCCACUGCGUUUAAAUACAUAUGGAGAGUGGCUUGAUCUGCUCACAGAGGAUAUCUGUAAAGAUGUUAUGUCUAUGAACAUUUGUGUGUUAUUAACAAGUCUAUCUUUUUUAACUUUAAGAUGUGUGUAACUUCAGAGACUAAGACAAAUAUAAAAGAAGUCUUAUGCAAAAGCUCUAAGAAUUUGAAGGAAUGAGUAGGCAUGUGCCUGUCUGUGUGAGGCUUAUUAAAAUCUUUACUUAUGUAUUUUCAUACAUGUAGUAUUUUUUGCUGGAAAAAAUUGCAUGCAACUUUCCAAAAUUUUAUUUUCACAUAUUUAAACCCCACAUUGUACUUUGAGUGCACUGUGUUUGAUUGUAUAGAUAGGAGCAAAGAGCAUUUAGAAAUCAAAAACAGAGGGAAAAAAUGAGAGGCUGUAAAGCUAGGGUGCAAAAUAAAAAAUGUUAGUGCAAAAGCUGUGAAGUGGGUUUGAACUAGGAGAGACAGCCCACAGAGUUAGGGACUGGCUGCAAAACACCAUUAGACUUGUUCAGAGGCAGGGUUCAUCCACCAGACAAUUAGGGUUAGAAUGAUUGCUGGAAAGUAUUUGUGCAAAUAUCAUUAAAUGUCUUUUCAUUCAUGGGUGCACUCAACAUUGAAUGCUUAUUUCUUUAAAUGAAGAUGGUUUCAGUAGCUGGUAGAGGGGAGAUGAAUUAUUUUAAUUUUAAAGAAGCCAAAUUAAAAAAAAAAAAAAACAGAA
RNAcentral lists this long non-coding RNA (1854 nucleotides) under Strigops habroptila (Kakapo). RNAcentral describes it as "lncRNA (ENSSHBG00005000024.1)". Lineage: Eukaryota; Metazoa; Chordata; Aves; Psittaciformes; Psittacidae. The record is from RNAcentral.